This 66-nucleotide transfer RNA is filed under the name Yezoterpnosia vacua. Its description in RNAcentral is "tRNA-Trp". Lineage: Eukaryota; Metazoa; Arthropoda; Insecta; Hemiptera; Cicadidae. The record is from RNAcentral.
AAGGUUUUAAGUUAUUAAAACUAAUAUCCUUCAAAGUUAAAAAUAUAAUCAUAUUUAUAAACCUUA